AGUAAACCAGCAGCAAGCAGAGCAGAGUCCAGCCCAAGGAGAAAAUGUUAAGGAAUUUCAGAUCACAGAACCCAAUCCUGAAUGUGACUGAUGAGUUAGCAGAAGUACUGAGUCCGACAACAUUAAGGAGCCACAGCAUCUAAGCUCUGCUACAGGUCUGCACUCAGCUUUCCCUCAACCCUGACCAGUCUCCCUGUCCCUGCCGCUGAAAAAUACCCCCACAGCGUGAUACUGCCACCACAAUGCUUCACCGCUGGGAUAGUAUUGGGCAGGUGAUGAGCAAUGCCUGGUUUCCUCCACACAUGACGCUGAGAACUGAGACCAAACAGUUCAAUCUUGGCCCUUCUUCCUGAUUGCUCCGUUUG
Seriola dumerili (greater amberjack) is the source of this 365-nucleotide long non-coding RNA. RefSeq lists it as uncharacterized. The transcript has 3 exons. The record is from RefSeq and is a predicted model, not a curated record. Lineage: Eukaryota; Metazoa; Chordata; Actinopteri; Carangiformes; Carangidae.